This 56-nucleotide transfer RNA is filed under the name Necator americanus (New World hookworm). It matches the Rfam family "tRNA", at positions 9 to 63 of the family's 71-position model. From Rfam's summary of the family: Transfer RNA (tRNA) molecules are approximately 80 nucleotides in length. Their secondary structure includes four short double-helical elements and three loops (D, anti-codon, and T loops). Lineage: Eukaryota; Metazoa; Nematoda; Chromadorea; Rhabditida; Ancylostomatidae. The record is from Rfam by way of RNAcentral.
AGUAUAAUGGUUAGUACUCCACGUUGUGGCCGUGGCGACACAGGUUCGAUUCCUGU